CUCUCUCUCUCUCUCUCUCUCUCUCUUCAGCUUUUCACUUCCUCUCUCUGUCCCUCUUCCUCUCAGCUGCUCCUCUCCCAUCCCUCUCUCACCGCCGUUCCUCCUUGCGUUCGUCGGCAACCGGAGCACCUCCUUCUCCUCUACCAUCGCCAUCGUAAAGAGAGAAGACUAUAAAUGUACCAAACAUGACUUUAUUUUCUCCGAGUGGAAGAUUCUAUGAGAAGUCUCACAAGACGAAUGACUGGAUUGAUUCUCGAUGCGGUGACCUACAUGUAAGAAUUUAACAAUAGAAUGAGAUGGAGACCCCCUUCUACCAUAUCCGAAGCUGCAUCAAGAGCAUGUGAUAAGAAGAUGCAGACCCUGAUAUGUUUUGUUAUUAAGAUUUUCUUUAAUUUGGAUUUUAAUUGUUUGUUUGUAUAGUAUAUGUAUUUGUUGGAUUAUACUAUGUUUAUUGAUUCUUAUUUUAUUUGAUAUGUACGGUUAAUAGUUAAAUUUUUAUGUGGUUGAAAAUUGAAUGGUA
Non-coding RNA from Camellia sinensis, 520 nucleotides. Lineage: Eukaryota; Viridiplantae; Streptophyta; Magnoliopsida; Ericales; Theaceae. The record is from RefSeq and is a predicted model, not a curated record.